RNAcentral lists this unclassified non-coding RNA (345 nucleotides) under soil metagenome. RNAcentral describes it as "partial contains 5.8S ribosomal RNA, internal transcribed spacer 2, and large subunit ribosomal RNA". The stretch from base 1 to 119 matches the Rfam family "5.8S ribosomal RNA", at positions 35 to 154 of the family's 154-position model. The record is from RNAcentral.
GAUGAAGAACGUAGUGAAAUGCGAUACGUAAUGUGAAUUGCAAAUUCAGUGAAUCAUCGAGUCUUUGAACGCACAUUGCGCCCCCUGGUAUUCCGGGGGGCAUGCCUGUCCGAGCGUCAUUGCUGCCCUCAAGCACGGCUUGUGUGUUGGGCCCCGUCCUCCGAUUCCGGGGGACGGGCCCGAAAGGCAGCGGCGGCACCGCGUCCGGUCCUCGAGCAUAUGGGGCUUUGUCACCCGCUCUGUAGGCCCGGCCGGCGCUUGCCGAUCAACCCAAAUUUUUAUCCAGGUUGACCUCGGAUCAGGUAGGGAUACCCGCUGAACUUAAGCAUAUCAAUAAGCGGAGGA